This 200-nucleotide ribosomal RNA is filed under the name uncultured bacterium. RNAcentral describes it as "partial 16S ribosomal RNA". It matches the Rfam family "Bacterial small subunit ribosomal RNA", at positions 8 to 222 of the family's 1533-position model. The record is from RNAcentral.
AGAGUUUGAUCCUGGCUCAGAAUCAACGCUGGCGGCGUGCCUAACACAUGCAAGUCGAACGAGAAAGUGGAGCAAUCCAUGAGUAAAGUGGCGCACGGGUGAGUAACACGUGACUAACCUACCUUUUAGUGGGGGAUAACCUAGGGAAACCUGGGCUAAUACCGCAUAACACUUACGAGUCAAAGCAGCAAUGCGCUGAA